GGCCACAUUUUCCAUCUGGUCCACAUUCCACUCUCGAUGUAACUUUCCUAAUAAGAGGUCCGAUCCCGAGGCCUCAAAUACAGAGAAAGACACGAUAUCAAUCCAGACUCAGAGAUUCACAGAAGCAAUGGCGAAGAAGGCAGUCUUGAUAGGAAUCAAUUACCCAGGCACCAAGGCAGAACUGAAGGGCUGCAUAAACGAUGUCAAGAGGAUGUACCGAUGCCUGGUCGAUCGAUAUGGGUUCUCUGAGGAAGACAUCACCGUCUUGAUAGAUACCGAUGAAUCCUACAUCCAGCCAACUGGGAAGAAUAUUCGCAGGGUCCUCACUGAUCUUGUGAGAUCGGCUGAGCCAGGCGAUUUGCUUUUUGUGCACUACAGUGGACAUGGGACCAGGCUUCCUGCCGAGACUGGGGAAGAUGAUGAUACUGGCUUUGAUGAAUGCAUUGUGCCCUGUGACAUGAAUCUUAUCACUGAUGAUGACUUCAGGGAGUUUGUGGAUCAAGUACCACAUGGCUGCCGCAUAACAGUUGUAUCUGAUUCUUGCCAUAGCGGUGGGCUUAUUGACGAGGCUAAAGAGCAAAUAGGGGAGAGCACAAAGCGUAAAGAGGAGGAAUCAGAAAGUGGGUUUGGAUUCAAAAGUUUCUUGAAACAGACCAUCCAAGAUGCAUUUGAAUCUCGUGGAGUUCACCUUCCUUCUGAUUUGCACCACCACCACGGCCAUAGGGAUGAGGAGGAUUUUGAUAACCGAGUAGUUGAAGAAGACUAUGGUGACAGUGGCUAUGUGAAGAGUAAAUCUCUGCCUCUCUCAACUCUCAUAGAAAUUCUGAAGCAAAAAACAGGAAAAGAUGACAUUGAUGUUGGGAAGCUGAGACCAACACUUUUUGAUAUGUUUGGAGAUGAUGCAAGCCCUAAAGUGAAGAAAUUCAUGAAGGUAAUUCUGAAUAAACUCCGACAUGGUGAUGGAGAAAGUGGAGGUGGUGGAUUCUUGGGGAUGGUUGGCAGUCUGGCGCAGGAAUUUCUCAAACACAAGCUGGACGAGAAUGAUGAGAGUUAUGUAAAGCCUGCAUUGGAGACAGAAGUGGACAGCAAGCAAGAGGUUUAUGCUGGAAAAACCAAGCGGUCCCUGCCAGAUGGAGGGAUUCUAAUCAGUGGCUGCCAGACAGACCAAACUUCAGCUGAUGCCAGUCCUUCAGGAAAAUCCAGCGAAGCUUAUGGGGCUCUUAGCAAUGCAAUUCAGACCAUAAUUGCUGAGACAGAUGGUGCAGUUACCAAUCAGGAGCUGGUUUUGAAAGCUAGGAAGAUGCUGAAGAAACAAGGUUUCACCCAGAAACCAGGUCUCUACUGCAGUGACGAUCAUGUUGAAGCAAGUUUCGUAUGCUGAUAUGAAGAGUUUCUUUGUUACAAAGACAAUUAUGCGUGCUAUUAUGAGAUGUGUUUGCACUAGUUAUUGUGAGUUUUGAACAACAAUACCCUGAACCUUUCAUAUUCAAGUAAUGUGAUUUCAAUUCAAUAUUGGGCAGCCAUUAAUUGUCAUAGGCACAUGGAAUAUGAAAUCACAGUAUAAUUAAUCCUGCACUUGAAGCCAACCACUAUGGGUGAUUAGCUUUUGCAGUUAAAAGUUUACUGAAGCUAUAACUUGGAGUACGUCCCAUUUUCUGGUACCAUGGCCUUCCUUGUUGCUGGUUGAUCCGUGGUCUUUGCAUUCGUCUUUAUUGGAUUCCUGUAUCCAACUGCUCAUCUGUGGAGGUAGAAGACUUGUUCUUUGGAGGACUUCUUGACGCUAAAUUUAUUUAGCCAUGCUUGGCCUGGUUUUGAGAUUCCCAGUGUCUUGGGCAUCGUGUUCUGGUUUUUCCUUGGGUCGUAGGCUUUUUUCUUAUAAGGCUAGUUGUUGGACUAUGAGUUCUUAUUGUACUUGGCCAUCGGCCAUAUUUUAAGCAGCUAAUAAAUAUUUUUGCUAGGUGUAUGUAUAAAUAUGAAAGGAAUGAGAAACCAUAAAUAAUUGUUUUGAUUUCUU
RNAcentral lists this unclassified non-coding RNA (2014 nucleotides) under Hevea brasiliensis (rubber tree). The record is from RNAcentral. Lineage: Eukaryota; Viridiplantae; Streptophyta; Magnoliopsida; Malpighiales; Euphorbiaceae.